This 734-nucleotide ribosomal RNA is filed under the name uncultured bacterium. RNAcentral's name for it is "bacterial SSU rRNA". It matches the Rfam family "Bacterial small subunit ribosomal RNA", at positions 771 to 1501 of the family's 1533-position model. The record is from RNAcentral.
AACAGGAUUAGAUACCCUGGUAGUCCACGCCGUAAACGAUGAGUGCUAAGUGUUAGGGGGUUUCCGCCCUUUAGUGCUGGAGCAAACGCAUUAAGCACUCCGCCUGGGGAGUACGGUCGCAAGACUGAAACUCAAAGGAAUUGACGGGGACCCGCACAAGCGGUGGAGCAUGUGGUUUAAUUCGAAGCUACGCGAAGAACCUUACCAGGUCUUGACAUCCCACUGACCGGUGUAGAGAUACACCUUUCCCUUCGGGGACAGUGGUGACAGGUGGUGCAUGGUUGUCGUCAGCUCGUGUCGUGAGAUGUUGGGUUAAGUCCCGUAACGAGCGCAACCCUUGAUCUUAGUUGCCAGCAUUAAGUUGGGCACUCUAAGGUGACUGCCGGUGAUAAACCGGAGGAAGGUGGGGAUGACGUCAAAUCAUCAUGCCCCUUAUGACCUGGGCUACACACGUGCUACAAUGGACGGUACAGAGGGUUGCGAACCCGCGAGGGGGAGCUAAUCCCAUAAAACCGUUCUCAGUUCGGAUUGCAGGCUGCAACUCGCCUGCAUGAAGCCGGAAUCGCUAGUAAUCGUGGAUCAGCAUGCCACGGUGAAUACGUUCCCGGGUCUUGUACACACCGCCCGUCACACCACGAAAGUUUGUAACACCCGAAGUCGGUGAGGUAACCCUUUUGGGAGCCAGCCGCCGAAGGUGGGACAGAUGAUUGGGGUGAAGUCGUAACAAGGUAACC